CAGCCGCCACGGUAAUACGGAGGGAGCUAGCGUUGUUCGGAAUUACUGGGCGUAAAGCGCGCGUAGGCGGUUACUCAAGUCAGAGGUGAAAGCCCGGGGCUCAACCCCGGAACUGCCUUUGAAACUAGGUGACUAGAAUCUUGGAGAGGUCAGUGGAAUUCCGAGUGUAGAGGUGAAAUUCGUAGAUAUUCGGAAGAACACCAGUGGCGAAGGCGACUGACUGGACAAGUAUUGACGCUGAGGUGCGAAAGCGUGGGGAGCAAACAGGAUUAGAUACCCCUGUAGUCCCUGUCUCUUAUAA
RNAcentral lists this ribosomal RNA (301 nucleotides) under uncultured bacterium. RNAcentral's name for it is "partial 16S ribosomal RNA". It matches the Rfam family "Bacterial small subunit ribosomal RNA", at positions 509 to 809 of the family's 1533-position model. The record is from RNAcentral.